Molecule: ribosomal RNA, 440 nt
Filed under: uncultured bacterium
Lineage: Bacteria
Description: partial 16S ribosomal RNA
Rfam family: Bacterial small subunit ribosomal RNA
Source: RNAcentral
CCUACGGGAGGCAGCAGUGGGGAAUAUUGCACAAUGGGGGGAACCCUGAUGCAGCGACGCCGCGUGAGUGAAGAAGUAUCUCGGUACGUAAAGCUCUAUCAGCAGGGAAGAAAAUGACGGUACCUGACUAAGAAGCCCCGGCUAACUACGUGCCAGCAGCCGCGGUAAUACGUAGGGGGCAAGCGUUAUCCGGAUUUACUGGGUGUAAAGGGAGCGCAGACGGUGAUGCAAGCCAGAAGUGAAACCCCAGGGCCCAACCCUGGGACUGCUUUUGAAACGGAGUGGCUAGAGUGCAGGAGGGGUAGGCGGAAUUCCUGGUGAAGCGGUGAAUUGAGUAGAUAUCAGGAGGAACACGAGUGGCGAAGGCGGCUUGCUGGACUGUAACUGACGUUGAGGCCCGAAAGCGUGGGGAGCAAACAGGAUGAGAUACCCCUGUAGUC